GGGAGAACAGGCACAGAGAGAUGCAUGCAGAGUCAAUUUACCACAUUUUUCUUAAGAUAUUUCAUCUUCACAUUACAUUGUUUCAUUUGGAACCAGUAAAAAAAUUCUUUUUUUCCUAUAUUUAAUCACUCUGAAAAAGAAAAGAGUGGCAAAAUUCUUCUAAUCAGAAUCUUAUCUGUACGUUGUUUCAGAGAGAAAUCAAGAAAAAUGAGCUUCUUUACUCGUUCUUAUAUUCUACGGCUGCAGGAUGUGGGCUGCUACGAGACUACAGAAAUAUGCUUACAACACAGCUGUUAAACUCCAAAAGCACUUCGUGACUGCACUUAUCCCACAUUCCAGGCUUCAACUCUGUUCGAGCUUCCUACUGUGUCUGCAACAGAAAAGGUACCAUCUUCAAGAAUUAUGACAGUGCCAAACAUAAGUCAGACUGCUCCUUCACAAACAGGACACAUCAUUUGCUUCAGCAAAUUUUAUCAAAGCUAUAAAUCUGUUCUCUGGUUUUGAACACAAGCAAAGUUCCUUAAAAGUACAAGAUAAUUCACUGCACCGUUUCCCAUUCUGCACACUCUCUCUUCACUGUUCCUGUAUUCCGCUGAUUUUUAGACCAACGGCAGCUGAUUGAUCCUUGAACUAAACUCAACAGCAGUUCAAGUGCUAACUGGCUUCUAAAUUGGCAGCAGGAAAUGUAUUUGCAAGUAAAAAAGAAAUAUAAAUGUUUGCUUUGUCCUCAUCUUCACUCUUUCUGACAUUAAGCUACUUUCAAUGACCUGAACACUUGUAUGAGAGCAAGUCAGUCUUCCCUUAGUGCUGACUGCCAACUGACAAGUGACAAUGGAUUGUUGGCACUUGAAAGUUUCCCAAGUUCUGAAGCCCCUCAUCCACCUUAUGGUAGAACAGAUUGCAGUGUUCAGUGGACUAAUAUGAGUAAUACAAAAGGUGUCUUUAGCACAUAAGCCAAAGACUUCUUAUGGUAAUGAACCAUUUUCAUAAUUUCCAGGCUCCGUUGUAAACUUCAGUCAUCAGACUUGAGGAGACAGCAGUUACCAGGGAGAUGGGUGGAAGGAGUAGCAGCAAUAUUUCUAGCACACCCCAUUUCAUAAAAUGGCACCUGCAUAUAGCUGUAAUUGCACUGAUUCUGUCCUAUGAGCUGCACGUAGACUGCACUCUAAAAAGGGUGUGCCAUGGUUUGGGCUGAUGACUUCUGAGAAGGCAGCAAGAGCACAGUUCCACUGCUAGGUGAAGUAAAACCUGCCCUCCUGAGUUUUACAAUCCCCCACUGUUAUCUCUGUGGUAUAAAUAAUGUUGAAAUACUGUUGUGUCUUCUAUUACUUGAUUGAUUCUUAUGGACUAAAAUUAAGACAUGCUAAGUGAUGUUAGCUCAUCUUGCUAUUUUUAAUUAAAUAAUCUGAAACCAGAGAUAGAUCGGACUACUGCUACACAAAACUGCUUAUUCUGAAUACUGGAUUUUAAGCAAAGUAGCAUUCAACCAACAUGCAUUGUUAGCCUUUAUGAAAACAAACAUCACUGCAUCUAAUUACCAGUUUAUGAAAUAAAAAAGUUUGUGAAAGACAUUAGGUGUGCUUUACUGCACCUCUCAGAUAUCACAAAGACUAUAAGGUCAUAUCAGCUUUUUAUAUACUCAGCUAUCACACUGGCUAUGAAGUGAUAAGUUGUCCAACUCUCCCUGUUACCAAAGCCCAGCAGGGUGACCAUGGCACAAGUGACAGACAUCAGAAGUGCAGACCUCCUCAGGGGACGUGCCAGGCUGGUGCACAGGGAGUGUGCACACAGAAAUCACUGAAUCACACUGAACAUUGUCAGGCUACAUAAUGAUCUCCCAUUAAAAACCAGUGCAAGAAGAGCUAGACUUUUCUGUAAUUAUGUAAAUCAUUCCAACCCAAAAUAGCUCCCUGUAAAAAGCCCCUAGAAAUGAAGUUUGUUUUAUAUUAUUCUUACGAAGAGCUACUCAGUAUCUGGUUACUCCAUCCACAUGCAAGAUACUCCAUCGCUAGUAGAUAGACACAGAUACCACACCAACAAAUCCAUAGUCCUUCAGGUCAGUCAUUUUCAGGAAGAAAGUGCUGAAUUACAUGAAGCACAUGACACUAUUUGUAAAACUCAGACAGAAGAGCUUUGCACACACUCAUUUUCAUAUACUGCCACCAGAACAAGCUGCUUCUGUUUCACAAUUCUGUCACUGCUGCACAUGGUAGUUGAACAGGAAGACUUUUUUUUCCUCUUAUUAAUUCCCUGAUUCAUUUUAUUUCAUGAAGCUAGCUGGGUAACUUUUUUCUAUGCUUUCAGUGCAUAUCAAAAUAUUACAUCCUCCCUUAAAUGAGAAGAUUUUAGAUAAUCUGGGGAUUCCAGGUUAGUAACUACACACUAACACGUAACAAACUGUAAGUGCAAACUAAACUAUGUUCCGUACUGCAAACCUACAGUUAACUGCAGCAAAGCAUUACCUUCAAGUGCUUCACUGCUGAUUGCUAAUUUUAAGGCCCUCUUUGAUUUUAAAUGUAAUUUGGUCCUUUAUGCAAAUUAACAUUAUUAAUUUUAUGGAAAACUGCUAUUAGAAAGGGACGCUCCUUCCAAAAAGUAUUAACUACUUUAUGCAAGUUUUGCAGUAAUACUAACCACAGAUGACAGACUUAAUGAUCACUGAGAAGAAUCCGCAGGACUCCCCUUCCCUGCCAUCUGUUCACUGUACCUGCAAGCUGCUACUUAUUGAAUGAGGAGCACACCGUGCCACGUGUUUCUAAAACAGAGGUGGGAAAAGCUGCAUUACUGUGGUAGUUCGAUACUUCAGAGCAGUGAGAGCAUGGUGGGGCGGAAGCAGUACCUCUCCAAGCUGGCAUUCACAUACUCCUUGUCACUCUCUUUGCAAAAUUAAAAUUUGAUAUGAAAUUGAUCAUUUCAGUUAAACCAGCAUGGUAAAGCGGAGGGUGUUCUCACACCACAGAUAACACCUACCCACAUCCUGUUCAGAAGUUAUGAGGACAAAAUUCAGAAGGCAGCUCACUAAGGUACAUACCCACAC
Molecule: long non-coding RNA, 3037 nt
Organism: Gallus gallus (chicken)
Lineage: Eukaryota; Metazoa; Chordata; Aves; Galliformes; Phasianidae
Exons: 3
Source: RefSeq, a predicted model, not a curated record